Molecule: long non-coding RNA, 89 nt
Organism: Myotis davidii
Lineage: Eukaryota; Metazoa; Chordata; Mammalia; Chiroptera; Vespertilionidae
Exons: 3
Source: RefSeq, a predicted model, not a curated record
GGUGACAGGACAGGAGACCACAAAUUCCCUCAUCGUUAUUGUGAUCAUGUUAACUGUUGACUGUUAAUUAUCCUGUACUCACAUAAGUA